CAUUACCAUCAGACGACUCAGAUUUCAUCCGUACGAGCUGCAACACAACCUUAUACCCCGACCUCUGCGUCUCCUCCCUCUCAAACUUCUCAAGCUCCGUCCACGACGACCCAGCUCUCUUGGCUCGCGCCGCAAUCUCCGUCACUCUCUCCAAAGCUCUCGAGUUAGGCUCAUACCUCUCCAACGUCACCGCUCUCCUCAAGAGCCAGGAGGAAAAUGGGGGCCACCCAACCGCAGCCGCCGUUUUCCAUGACUGCUUCGAGAAUCUCAAAGACG
RNAcentral lists this long non-coding RNA (276 nucleotides) under Brassica rapa (field mustard). Its description in RNAcentral is "long non-coding RNA (BRAP_LNC005197)". The record is from RNAcentral. Lineage: Eukaryota; Viridiplantae; Streptophyta; Magnoliopsida; Brassicales; Brassicaceae.